RNAcentral lists this ribosomal RNA (196 nucleotides) under Candidatus Zambryskibacteria bacterium CG_4_9_14_3_um_filter_42_15. RNAcentral's name for it is "partial 16S ribosomal RNA". It matches the Rfam family "Bacterial small subunit ribosomal RNA", at positions 1308 to 1515 of the family's 1533-position model. Lineage: Bacteria; Candidatus Zambryskiibacteriota. The record is from RNAcentral.
AAACUCGACCCCAUGAAGUUGGAAUUGCUAGUAAUCGCGGGUCAGCUAUACCGCGGUGAAUACGUUCUCAAGUCUUGUACUCACCGCCCGUCAAGUCAAGGAAGUUGGGAGUGCUCGAAGUUCCUCUUAAUGAGGGCCUACGGUAAACUCAAUGACAAGGACUAAGUCGUAACAAGGCACGGGUAGCGGAAGCUGC